GACGAACCGUGCGAACGUUAUUCGGAAUCACUGGGCUUAAAGAGCGCGUAGGCGGCGUCGUAAGUUGGAGGUGAAAUCCCAUCGGCUCAACCGUGGAACUGCCCCCAAUACUGCGAUGCUUGAGAGAGGUAGGGGCAUGUGGAACUUCCAGUGGAGCGGUGAAAUGUGUUGAGAUUGGAAGGAACGCCAGUGGCGAAAGCGGCAUGCUGGAUCUCUACUGACGCUGAGGCGCGAAAGCUAGGGGAGCGAACGGG
This 254-nucleotide ribosomal RNA is filed under the name uncultured bacterium. RNAcentral's name for it is "partial 16S ribosomal RNA". It matches the Rfam family "Bacterial small subunit ribosomal RNA", at positions 524 to 776 of the family's 1533-position model. The record is from RNAcentral.